GAUGAACGCUGGCGGCGUGCUUAACACAUGCAAGUCGAACGAAGCAUUUAGGACAGAUUACUUCGGUUUGAAGUUCUUUAUGACUGAGUGGCGGACGGGUGAGUAACGCGUGGGUAACCUGCCUUGUACUGGGGGAUAGCAGCUGGAAACGGCUGGUAAUACCGCAUAAGCGCACAAUGUUGCAUGACAUGGUGUGAAAAACUCCGGUGGUAUAAGAUGGACCCGCGUCUGAUUAGCUAGUUGGUGAGAUAACAGCCCACCAAGGCGACGAUCAGUAGCCGACCUGAGAGGGUGACCGGCCACAUUGGGACUGAGACACGGCCCAGACUCCUACGGGAGUCAGCAGUGGGGAAUAUUGCACAAUGGAGGAAACUCUGAUGCAGCGACGCCGCGUGAGUGGAGAAGUAAUUCGUUAUGUAAAGCUCUAUCAGAAGGGAAGAUAGUGACGGUACCUGACUAAGAAACACCGGCUAAAUACGUG
RNAcentral lists this ribosomal RNA (481 nucleotides) under uncultured bacterium. RNAcentral describes it as "partial 16S ribosomal RNA". It matches the Rfam family "Bacterial small subunit ribosomal RNA", at positions 28 to 507 of the family's 1533-position model. The record is from RNAcentral.